Triticum aestivum (bread wheat) is the source of this 115-nucleotide non-coding RNA. The record is from Rfam. NCBI's taxonomy places the organism in Eukaryota, Viridiplantae, Streptophyta, Magnoliopsida, Poales, Poaceae.
CUUAUACUCCCUCCGUUCUGAAUUACUCAUCGCAGAAAUGGAUGUAUCUAGAUGUAUUUUAGUUCUAGAUACAUCCACUUCUACGAUGAGUAAUUUGGAACGGAGGGAGUAUCUU